UGCUGAUGACCCACCGCCUGCUCUGAACGAAACCACGCUGCACACACACCGGUCGUUGGACGUUUUUAACCUUAACACAGCUAGUGAAAGCAGCCAAAGCUCCACUACCAUGGGAGGAGCCAACCUGUCCUGUUUGAGAUGUUCUGAGACCUUUCCCUGGAAGAUGCACAAGUUUAAGAGUGGGGGUCUCAAGAUCAGCAGAAGCUGCUCUCAUCCGUCAUCUCUGCAGGGGACACUCCAGGGAAACUGAAGCCGUCACUAAAAGCAAGUGCCAUGAUGUUCAGCUUUUUACAGACUGACGCAAGAUGUAAGUAAUUUUGUU
Long non-coding RNA from Labrus mixtus (cuckoo wrasse), 322 nucleotides. RefSeq lists it as uncharacterized. The record is from RefSeq and is a predicted model, not a curated record. Lineage: Eukaryota; Metazoa; Chordata; Actinopteri; Labriformes; Labridae. The transcript is spliced from 3 exons.